GGGAUCACCUGAUGGACGCAACCCGCUACCUA
RNAcentral lists this non-coding RNA (32 nucleotides) under Geobacter sulfurreducens PCA. The record is from RNAcentral. Lineage: Bacteria; Pseudomonadati; Thermodesulfobacteriota; Desulfuromonadia; Geobacterales; Geobacteraceae.